GGCUUUCAUUUGCACAUUGGAGGGGUGCUUACUUCAACUCAAAAUUGCGGUGAUGAAGGCCUGCAUUAGUUCAGCCCUUACCAAGACAAGUGCAUAACUAAAAACAAAUCAUAAGUUCCAGAAAUAUUAUAAUAUACUGAAAACAGGGCCUAUGAAGGCCUAUCCUACCCUCAUUGUGAUCUUAAUCAAAAGUCAUUUUUUCAGCUUCGUGUCUAAGGGACUCAAAC
RNAcentral lists this unclassified non-coding RNA (227 nucleotides) under Hevea brasiliensis (rubber tree). Lineage: Eukaryota; Viridiplantae; Streptophyta; Magnoliopsida; Malpighiales; Euphorbiaceae. The record is from RNAcentral.